This 291-nucleotide ribosomal RNA is filed under the name Burkholderia sp. VC38. RNAcentral's name for it is "partial 16S ribosomal RNA". It matches the Rfam family "Bacterial small subunit ribosomal RNA", at positions 1036 to 1355 of the family's 1533-position model. The record is from RNAcentral. Lineage: Bacteria; Pseudomonadati; Pseudomonadota; Betaproteobacteria; Burkholderiales; Burkholderiaceae.
AGGUGUGCCAUGGCGUUCGUCAGCUCGUGUCGUGAAGAUUUUGGGUUUAAGUCCCGCAACGAGCGCCAAGGAGACUGCCCGGUGGCCAAACCGGAGGAAGGGUGGGGGAUGACGUCAAGUCCUUCAUGGCCCCUUACGGGUAGGGCUUCACACGUCAUACAAUGGUCGGAACAGAGGGUUGCCAACCCGCGAGGUGGAGCCAAUCCCAGAAAAACCGAUCGUAGUCCGGAAUCGCAGUUUGCAACUCGACUGCGUGAAGUCUGAAUCGCUGAGAUAAUCGCGGAUCAGCAU